RNAcentral lists this ribosomal RNA (468 nucleotides) under uncultured bacterium. Its description in RNAcentral is "partial 16S ribosomal RNA". It matches the Rfam family "Bacterial small subunit ribosomal RNA", at positions 28 to 507 of the family's 1533-position model. The record is from RNAcentral.
GACGAACGCUGGCGGCGUGCUUAACACAUGCAAGUCGAACGGAAAGGCCCGGCUUUUGUGGGGUGCUCGAGUGGCGAACGGGUGAGUAACACGUGAGUAACCUGCCCUUGACUUUGGGAUAACUUCAGGAAACUGGGGCUAAUACCGGAUAGGAGCUCCUGCUGCAUGGUGGGGGUUGGAAAGUUUCGGCGUUGGGGGAUGGACUCGCGGCUUAUCAGCUUGUUGGUGGGGUAGUGGCUGACCAAGGCUUUGACGGGUAGCCGGCCUGAGAGGGUGACCGGCCACAAUGGGACUGAGAUGCGGCCCAGACUCCUACGGGGGGCAGCAGUGGGGAAUAUUGCACAAUGGGCGGAGGCAUGAUGAAGGAACGCCGCGUGCGGGAUGACGGCCUCCGGGGUGUAAACAGCUUUCGCCUGCGACGAAGCGUGAGUGACGGUAAUGGGUAAAGAAGCACCGGCUAACUACGUG